Molecule: non-coding RNA, 507 nt
Organism: Schizosaccharomyces pombe (fission yeast)
Lineage: Eukaryota; Fungi; Ascomycota; Schizosaccharomycetes; Schizosaccharomycetales; Schizosaccharomycetaceae
Source: the annotation of a GenBank genome assembly
UAUUUGGAAAAUACUUGUAAUUAAUUUAAAGCGGCUUUUCUCAUUCUAGGUACUAGAUGAGUACUUUCGUUACAGCGCAAUUCUUGUAUUGACCAGGUACGAAUCGGAAUGGAGGACAUCCCACAACAGACAAAAAAUGAAAUACAAUUCACAAAUUAGUACCACAUCUUGUUCAUUUUCAUGAACAAGUGUUAAAGAACUUUUAUAUUUAUAUAAAAGACAUAUUCAACUGGUUGUCUUUACUAAGUUUAGAUGCAUUCUUGAUUCAAUGUAUCUACGAGAAGCGCAUUGAAAAAAAAAAGUUUGUUUGUAAUAGUUUAUAUUCAAAGACUGUUGAAAACACAUUUCCUCAACUAUUCUUGAGUUUGGCAUUGAUAACCUUUUGAAUUUCAUUAAUACGAGUUCUCACUUUUUUUUGUAAUCCAAAAAACGGUGAUGGAUGGUUUGUAAGGCAAUGGAUUAACAACUUUUCAAUAAAAUAAUUCUUUACUCUAGUCAAAGGAACAA